UAGGGAAUCUUCCACAGUGGACGAAAGUCUGAUGGAGCAACGCCGCGUGAGUGAAGAAGGGUUUCGGCUCGUAAAACUCUGUUGUUAAAGAAGAACAUAUCUGAGAGUAACUGUUCAGGUAUUGACGGUAUUUAACCAGAAAGCCACGGCUAACUACGCGCCAG
Molecule: ribosomal RNA, 164 nt
Filed under: uncultured bacterium
Lineage: Bacteria
Description: partial 16S rRNA
Rfam family: Bacterial small subunit ribosomal RNA
Source: RNAcentral